This 760-nucleotide ribosomal RNA is filed under the name bacterium xpnta655lb520onp10.8. RNAcentral describes it as "bacterial SSU rRNA". It matches the Rfam family "Bacterial small subunit ribosomal RNA", at positions 51 to 824 of the family's 1533-position model. The record is from RNAcentral.
ACACAUGCAGUCGAACGAUGAUCAGGAGCUUGCUUCUGUGAUUAGUGGCGAACGGGUGAGUAACACGUGAGUAACCUGCCCCUGACUCUGGGAUAAGCGUUGGAAACGACGUCUAAUACUGGAUAUGACUUCCGGCCGCAUGGUCUGGUUGUGGAAAGAUUUUUUGGUUGGGGAUGGACUCGCGGCCUAUCAGCUUGUUGGUGAGGUAAUGGCUCACCAAGGCGACGACGGGUAGCCGGCCUGAGAGGGUGACCGGCCACACUGGGACUGAGACACGGCCCAGACUCCUACGGGAGGCAGCAGUGGGGAAUAUUGCACAAUGGGCGAAAGCCUGAUGCAGCAACGCCGCGUGAGGGAUGACGGCCUUCGGGUUGUAAACCUCUUUUAGUAGGGAAGAAGCGAAAGUGACGGUACCUGCAGAAAAAGCACCGGCUAACUACGUGCCAGCAGCCGCGGUAAUACGUAGGGUGCAAGCGUUGUCCGGAAUUAUUGGGCGUAAAGAGCUCGUAGGCGGUUUGUCGCGUCUGCUGUGAAAUCCCGAGGCUCAACCUCGGGCUUGCAGUGGGUACGGGCAGACUAGAGUGCGGUAGGGGAGAUUGGAAUUCCUGGUGUAGCGGUGGAAUGCGCAGAUAUCAGGAGGAACACCGAUGGCGAAGGCAGAUCUCUGGGCCGUAACUGACGCUGAGGAGCGAAAGCAUGGGGAGCGAACAGGAUUAGAUACCCUGGUAGUCCAUGCCGUAAACGUUGGGCGCUAGAUGUA